RNAcentral lists this ribosomal RNA (2928 nucleotides) under Sphingobacterium detergens. RNAcentral describes it as "partial 23S ribosomal RNA". It matches the Rfam family "Bacterial large subunit ribosomal RNA". The record is from RNAcentral. Lineage: Bacteria; Pseudomonadati; Bacteroidota; Sphingobacteriia; Sphingobacteriales; Sphingobacteriaceae.
GUGAAGAAAGUAAAUAAGGGCACACGGGGGAUGCCUAGGCUCUCAGAGGCGAAGAAGGACGUGAUAAGCUGCGAUAAGCUUUGGGGAUUGGCAAAUGCGAUUUGAUCCAAAGAUUUCCGAAUGGGGCAACCUGACUAUUUGAAGAAUAGUCGUAUGAUACGCGAACGCGCUGAACUGAAACAUCUAAGUAGGCGUAGGAGAAGAAAAUAACAAUGAUUUCCCAAGUAGUGGCGAGCGAACGGGAAAGAGCCCAAACCGAUUAUGUUACGGCAUAGUCGGGGUUGUAGGACCACGAGAUUGUACAGCGCUAUGAACUGGAAGCAGGUGGGAAACUGCGCAAUAAGGGUGAGAGCCCCGUACAGGAAAAGAAUGUUGACAUAGUGGUAUCCUGAGUACCGCGGGACCGGAGAAAUCCUGUGGGAAUCCACCAGCACCAUCUGGUAAGGCUAAAUACUCCUGAGAGACCGAUAGUGAACCAGUACCGUGAGGGAAAGGUGAAAAGAACCCCGAACAGGGGAGUGAAAAGAACCUGAAACCGUGUGCUUACAAGCGGUUGGAGCAGAGAGAUUCUGUGACAGCGUGCCUUUUGCAUAAUGAGCCUACGAGUUACUCUUGUCUGGCAAGGUUAAGUCCUUCAGGGACGCAGCCGAAGCGAAAGCGAGUCUUAAUAGGGCGCAUAGUCAGAUGAGGUAGACGCGAAACCUUGUGAUCUACCCUUGGGCAGGUUGAAGUUGCAGUAACAUGUAAUGGAGGACCGAACCGAUAAACGUUGAAAAGUUUCCGGAUGACCUGAGGGUAGGGGUGAAAGGCCAAUCAAACUGGGAAAUAGCUCGUACUCCCCGAAAUGUUUUUAGGAACAGCGUCGGCAUCGAGUUUAAUAGAGGUAGAGCUACCGAUUGGGUGCGGGGGAGUCAAAUCCUACCAAAUCCAGACGAACUCCGAAUGCUAUUAAAUAUGGCCGGCAGUGAGGCUUUGGGUGCUAAGGUCCAAGGCCGAGAGGGAAAGAACCCAGACCAUCAGCUAAGGUCCCCAAAUUCGUUCUAAGUUGAACUAACGAGGUCCGGUUGCCCAGACAGCUAGGAUGUUGGCUUGGAAGCAGCCAUUCAUUUAAAGAGUGCGUAACAGCUCACUAGUCGAGCGGCCGGGCGUGGAUAAUAAACGGGCAUCAAGAACGGUACCGAAGCUAUGGAUUUGUAACAUUAGUUACAUCUGGUAGGGGAGCAUUCCAUAUGGGGUGAAGAUAUCUGGUAAUGGGUGUUGGACCGUAUGGAAAAGCAAAUGUAGGCAUAAGUAACGAUAAGGCGGGUGGGAAACCCGCCCACCGAAAGACCAAGGUUUCCUGAUCAACGUUAAUCGGAUCAGGGUCAGUCGGGACCUAAGGCGCACCCGAAGGGGGCAAGCCGAUGGACAACUGGUUAAUAUUCCAGUACUCUUCAUAACUGCGAUGUGGUGACGGAGUAGUGACACUGCCGCGAACUGACGGAAUAGUUCGUUGAAAGGCGUAGGUAUAGGGACGGUAGGCAAAUCCGCCGACCCUGCUGAACCCCAAUAGUACAGCAAAGCUUCGGUGGCGCUGAUAGAGCAGGUAAACAGACUUCCAAGAAAACCCGCUAAGCUUCAGGUUAUGAAGACCCGUACCGCAAACCGACACAGGUGGUCGAGGAGAGAAUCCUAAGGUGCUCGAGUGAGUCAUGGCUAAGGAACUCGGCAAAAUGGCCCUGUAACUUCGGGAGAAGGGGCGCUGUCUCUGAGAGGAGCAGCCGCAGUGAAAAGGCCCAGGCGACUGUUUAACAAAAACAUAUGGCUUUGCAAAAUCGCAAGAUGAGGUAUAAGGCCUGACACCUGCCCGGUGCUGGAAGGUUAAGAGGGGAUGUCAUCGUAAGAGAAGCAUUGAAUCGAAGCCCCAGUAAACGGCGGCCGUAACUAUAACGGUCCUAAGGUAGCGAAAUUCCUUGUCGGGUAAGUUCCGACCUGCACGAAUGGUGUAACGAUCUGGGCGCUGUCUCAGCCAUGAGCUCGGUGAAAUUGUGGUAUCGGUGAAGACGCCGAUUACCCGCAACGGGACGGAAAGACCCCAUGCACCUUCACUAUAGCUUAACAUUGAGAUUGGGUACAGGAUGUGUAGGAUAGGCGGGAGAUGUUGAAGCGUGUUCGCCAGGAUACGUGGAAUCAACCUUGAAAUACCGCCCUUUCUGUAUUCGGUUUCUAACUCCUUUAUGAGGAGGACAUUGUUUGGUGGGUAGUUUGACUGGGGUGGUCGCCUCCAAAAAGGUAACGGAGGCUUUCAAAGGUAAGCUCAGUACGCUUGGUAACCGUACGUGGAGUGCAAUGGCAUAAGCUUGCUUGACUGUGAGACCGACAAGUCGAACAGGGUCGAAAGACGGACAUAGUGAUCCGGUGGUUCUGUAUGGAAGGGCCAUCGCUCAAAGGAUAAAAGGUACGCUGGGGAUAACAGGCUGAUCUCCCCCAAGAGCUCAUAUCGACGGGGAGGUUUGGCACCUCGAUGUCGGCUCGUCACAUCCUGGGGCUGGAGAAGGUCCCAAGGGUUGGGCUGUUCGCCCAUUAAAGUGGCACGCGAGCUGGGUUCAGAACGUCGCGAGACAGUUCGGUCCCUAUCUGUUGUGGGCGUUGGAAGUUUGAGUGGAUCUGACCUUAGUACGAGAGGACCGGGUUGGACAGACCUCUGGUGAACCUGUUAUGCCGCCAGGUGUACGGCAGGGUAGCUACGUCUGGAAUAGAUAAGCGCUGAAAGCAUCUAAGUGCGAAACUAGCCACGAGAUGAGACUUCCUUAUAGGGUCGUAGAAGAUGACUACGUUGAUAGGCCAUAGGUGUAAAGGUUGAGAGACCAAAGCCAAGUGGUACUAAUAGCCCGAAGCUUUCUCAUGCAGAGACACACUGUUGUCUUCCUCUUUAAUUUUUGAAACAAA